Long non-coding RNA from Nicotiana tabacum (common tobacco), 1975 nucleotides. RefSeq lists it as uncharacterized. NCBI's taxonomy places the organism in Eukaryota, Viridiplantae, Streptophyta, Magnoliopsida, Solanales, Solanaceae. The record is from RefSeq and is a predicted model, not a curated record.
UAUUAACAGGCAACAGCAGAGCACAUGGACUUUUUCCUUUGACAGCUGGAGCUAACUUUGGUGCUAAUCUAUCUAAAAAUGUUUAUUUUCCCGUUAUUCUUCUUCUGCUUAUCUUGGUACCUUGGCUUCACUCAAAGGAGUUGUACCAUAAAAUAAUAUUUCUACAGCAUUAACUUUACAAUUGGUAAUAUAAAUUUUCCCCAAUUAGUUGCCUUUUCUGCUAUUCGAUCACAACUCUCUCCUAAAAUAGAUUUCUCUGUAUCAUUGGAUUUCUCAGUUGUCUAAUUUGUGCGUUUUCCUGUUUGAAAGGGGUGGUGUUGGUGUAAUGUAUUUAAAAUUAGGAUUUCUUUUUGGAAAAAAUUGGUGGAUGGUGCUAGGUUUUGGGAAUUUGAGAAAUUGAUAAAAUUUGGAGUUUUAUCUGCUUUGUCCUCAAUAAUCCAGAAAGAAGAUUGUGAUUUCUGUAGUAAUUGGCCCAAAGUUAACAGCUUCUCACUGCUAUACUGCCCAUAGACAAAUUGUAGAUAAAUUUCGGCCGAGAGAAAGAAGGGAUCAGUGAGUUCGUUUUCAGACAAUAAUUGUUCAAGAUUAAAACGAGGAACAAAUUUGUGUAAUACUCUAUAGUGAUGACAUUGGACGACGUGAUAACUUGUUCAAACUUUUCGAGACGUGCCUCAUUUCAACUGCCAAAGUUAGAUAUCCACAGCCUUAUUCACUACACAUUGGCCAAUUUGAAUGGGUCGUCGACAUGUUCACUAUUGUGGAGUCUAUUGCAAGGAAUAAUGAAAAUGUAACUGAAUGUUCUUCUUGGUAAUUUCACUCCCAAAAAUGUAACUGUCAAAAGAAUUUUCUGUUAACGUGACCUUGAGGGACCUUGUGAUCACGAUCUCUCCUUUGAGCUAUUCCUUUGCAUAUGUAAAUGCUUUGGAAGUUGUCUUACCAGAUAUCCUUAUUACUGAUGAUGCCUCCAUCAUUAGUGCAGCGGGGACGUUAAGUGGUAUGCAAGCGCAGGCUCUCGAAACAGUUGCAAGACAUGGGCGGAUCGCUGGUGUCGUUUGAAAAUGAUACACUUUGGAGAACUUGGGUUACUGGUCAAAGUUUCUUAACGCAACGGAAUUCUGCUAAGUCGAUAAAUAAGAUUGCUUCUGUGAAAUAUCCACAGAAUGGAGCAACACCAGAUAUUGCACCACAGACAGUUUAUGGUACUUGUAGUAAGAUGAAUGUGGCUGAUACUGGUAAUGAUCCUAACGUCAAUUUUAAUGUGACUUGGACGUUCAAUGUGGAACCUGGAUUCCAAUAUUUCAUUCGUUUACACUUGUACGACAUAGUGAGCACAGCUGCCAAUCAGCUGCUAUUUAACAUUUAUGUCAACUCCUGGAACGUGGCUAAUGAUUUUGAUCCCGGUCAGAAAGUGCAGGGCUUUUCCGCCACAACUUCUUUCAACGAUUGUUACUCCACCUGCUAAAAGUAAUAGGCUUAACAUUAGUGUUGGCCCGUCCCCUAGGAGUGGUUUUCCUGACGCCUUUCUAAAUGGACUGGAACUUCUGUUCAGCACUAUGGUUAGAGUUUCUUUCAUCGUCACUAUUAUUAUGUAAAUGAGCUUCCUUGCCUAAUGAUUCAGGCUUUACUGCAGAACAACUAUCCUCCUGACAGACUAGAUCAAAUGUCUCCACGGCCCAUAAAUCAAUUCUUGGCAUAAAUAUCAUGCACUUCCCCACACUAGCACAUCUCACUGCACAAGAGAUACAAUCAUGUUCUACUGUUAAUUGUUUUACUUAUUGUUUAUUUCAAUAAUUUUCAACAUUUUUUCCACAAUUUGAUAUGCACUAAAUGUUACUUGGUUACAAUUUAGAUUAUAUUCCGGAUAAAUACUACACCUUAACGAAAAAUUACAAAGAGAAAUGCUUCCACAUGUUGGUACUGAAAAGUAAUGUGACACUAACCGAAUUGGAAUAUGAUAAAUUCCUUUUCUACCUCA